This 465-nucleotide ribosomal RNA is filed under the name uncultured bacterium. RNAcentral's name for it is "partial 16S ribosomal RNA". It matches the Rfam family "Bacterial small subunit ribosomal RNA", at positions 28 to 507 of the family's 1533-position model. The record is from RNAcentral.
GAUGAACGCUGGCGGCGUGCUUAACACAUGCAAGUCGAACGGAAAGGCCCAAGCUUGCUUGGGUACUCGAGUGGCGAACGGGUGAGUAACACGUGGGUGAUCUGCCCUGCACUUCGGGAUAAGCCUGGGAAACUGGGUCUAAUACCGGAUAGGACCACAUUUUGGAUGGUGUGGUGGAAAGUUUUUCGGUGUGGGAUGAGCUCGCGGCCUAUCAGCUUGUUGGUGGGGUAAUGGCCUACCAAGGCGUCGACGGGUAGCCGGCCUGAGGGGGUGUACGGCCACAUUGGGACUGAGAUACGGCCCAGACUCCUACGGGAGGCAGCAGUGGGGAAUAUUGCACAAUGGGCGCAAGCCUGAUGCAGCGACGCCGCGUGGGGGAUGACGGCCUUCGGGUUGUAAACUCCUUUCGCUAGGGACGAAGCGCAAGUGACGGUACCUGGAGAAGAAGCACCGGCUAACUACGUG